RNAcentral lists this ribosomal RNA (253 nucleotides) under uncultured bacterium. RNAcentral describes it as "partial 16S ribosomal RNA". It matches the Rfam family "Bacterial small subunit ribosomal RNA", at positions 524 to 776 of the family's 1533-position model. The record is from RNAcentral.
UACGAAGGGGGCUAGCGUUGCUCGGAAUGACUGGGCGUAAAGGGCGCGUAGGCGGUGGCCAAAGUCAGGCGUGAAAUUCCUGGGCUCAACCUGGGGGCUGCGCUUGAUACUUGGUUGCUUGAGUGGGGAAGAGGGUCGUGGAAUUCCCAGUGUAGAGGUGAAAUUCGUAGAUAUUGGGAAGAACACCGGUGGCGAAGGCGGCGACCUGGUCCUUGACUGACGCUGAGGCGCGAAAGCGUGGGGAGCAAACAGG